CCAGAGGGUCGGGCGACCGCGGGCGUCUUUCGGGAUGCGCGAGGAAAGUCCGGGCUCCACGUAACGACGGUGCCGGGUAACGCCCGGCCGGGGUGACCCGAGGGAAAGUGCCACAGAGAGCAGACGGCGACCGCUUUGGCGACGCCAUGGUGAAAGGGUGCGGUAAGAGCGCACCGCGCGCCUGGUAACAGGGGCGGCACGGCAAACCCCACCGGGAGCAAGACCGAAUAGGGGCGGCAAAUGAGCAUCGUUGCUGCUCGUCGCCCGGGUUGGUUGCUUGAGCCUGCAUGCGAGUGCAGGCCUAGAGGAAUGGUCGCCCAACUUGCGGAAGCAGGUGGACAGAACCCGGCUUACAGACCCUCUGGCGCU
This 369-nucleotide RNase P RNA is filed under the name Sphingomonas aliaeris. Its description in RNAcentral is "Bacterial RNase P class A". It matches the Rfam family "Bacterial RNase P class A". Rfam says of the family: Ribonuclease P (RNase P) is a ubiquitous endoribonuclease, found in archaea, bacteria and eukarya as well as chloroplasts and mitochondria. Its best characterised activity is the generation of mature 5'-ends of tRNAs by cleaving the 5'-leader elements of precursor-tRNAs. Lineage: Bacteria; Pseudomonadati; Pseudomonadota; Alphaproteobacteria; Sphingomonadales; Sphingomonadaceae. The record is from Rfam by way of RNAcentral.